UUUCCCACCUCAGUAGACCCAAUAUAGAAACCCCCUCAUAGACAGAUCAGUCUCCUAGGUGAUCCUAGAUCCUGUCGAGCUGAGAAUCAGUGUCCAUAGGAUAAUAAAUCUUUCACAGACCAGAAAUUCCAUCCUUGGCUAGGAAGUCUUCUAGGUCCUUCCUAGGGGUCCCUUUCAUGAGUUGUCAAAAAGUGUUCCGCUGCCAUAAAAAUUUUUUUUCUGUGCUCCCUGGGGAGCUAUUGCUUAGGCUUCUGGAAAGUCUGGACGUGAGGGAGUGUCUCCUGAUUCUGAUUCUUCAUACUCCGUGAGGCUUAGAUCUGCUCCUUUGUGGUCUUUCCGGGCCUCAGGCCACAGAGGUCUCCAUGACGUUGACUCCCCCUUUGCUCCACCCCAGGAGGUAGCUGGUCAGUGCUGCCUGAGCCUCAGACCACCCAUGAAAGUGUAGCUUCCCAUUACUCGUCUCCUGUGAGCCAGAAGGCAGCUGUGUCCUGGGCCCUGUGACAGGUGUCCCCCUUGGGGUCAGUGGUGCUUCAUGAAGCACCCGUGUCCCUUUGAGGCUCCUCUGGAGGAUGGUAGAGCCUGCUCAGGCCUGUUCUAUGCUUGCUCUCGCCUGAGCCUACUGCGGCCGUGGCUGCUGUAUUCCUCUCUACCCUCUGCUGAGCUUCAGGCACAUGGCCGUGCUGACCCAGGUGCCCACUGCUCCCUGUGCCUCAGCCCCCCACCUGGCUGCCAAGUACUCUGUGUCUGUCCAGGGCAGGCUGCUUAAGUUCAAGUUUGCUUCCCUCGUCAGAGUAAUCAGGGUGCAUAUUAGCUCCUUUCUCGUUACUGCGACCAAAUACCCGCUGAGAAGAAACUUAAGGGAGAAAAUAUUCCUUUUGGCUCACAGUCUAAGAAAGAAUACACCAUAGCGGUGAAUCAUAGCAGCAAGAGCCUGGUAUGGCUGGUGACAUUGAGCCUACAGUCAGGAAGCAGAGAGAGAGAGAGAGAGAGAGAGAGAGAGAGAGAGAGAGAGACAGAGACAGAGACAGAGACAGAGACAGAGAGACAGAGAGACAGAGAUGAAUGUUCAAGUUGACACACACACCCAUUUUCAUGUGUGUGUAUAGGCAUGUUUUUGCGUGUGUGGGCACAUGUGGGUGUGCAUGUAUACGUGUAUGUAUGUACAUGUGGAGGCCUGAGGUUGAUGCUACAAAUCAUCUUUGGUUCCUCUCACCUUAUUCAACAAGGCAGCAUCGCUCAAUCAGAGUCAAAGUUUGUUGAUGUGGCUAGUCUUGCUAGGUGGCAUCCUCUGGGGAUCCCCUGUCUUUACCUUUGGAGGCUGGAAUUACAGGUGAGUCACCACACCCACCCAGAAUUGACAUAGUUUUGGGGAUCCAAACUCCUGUCCUCCACUACUUGCCUAGCAAGCACUUUAGCUGCUGAGCACCUCCACCUCCAACUCUAGACUUUCUCUUUUUUAUUCAGCCCCAAACUGCAGCCCAUGGCAUGAUGCUACCCACAUUGAGGGUGGGUCCUCCCUUCUCAAUUGAACCUCUCUGGAAACACCCUCAUAGACACAUCCAGAGGUGCGUUUCCAUGGUGAUCCCAAAUCCAGUCAUGUUGACGUGAACAUUAGCAUGCCAGUUUCAUGUGGGUUUGUUAAUGCUCAAGCAAGUGCUUUGGUGCAGAAGGUUUGGGUCCAGUCACUCAGAGUGGAACUCUAGCCCGAUGACAUUGGUGACUAGAGUCGGGUUUUUUGUAUCCUGGUCCAUUCUUUUAGUCGGUAGGCCCCGGGUAGAUGAUGAGUAGGCCAUUCCUCAGAAGCUUAUCCCAGGCAUAUACUCAAAUCUUUCUGCUGUAUGGACACUACAUCUUUCAAAUGGGAUCCUAGGAUCACAUGUAAGCAUUCACAGGUAUUACACCAACCUCCAGAACCUCACGAGUCCUCAGUACACAUUAGCCCUUCAUCUGACCCCCAUUGCCCUGACCAGGGUGGCAAGAACCAAAGAUGGUUAUAAUCCCAGCACCCAGAAAGAGACAGAGAAGGAUCCAAGUUCAAGAAUAUCCUUGGCUACGUAGUGAGUUUAAGGUCAGCGUGGAUGGCAGGAAAUGCUAUAUCUAAAAACCAAAGCAUGGGGCUGGAGAGAUGGCUCAGCAGUUAAAAGUGUGCACUGCCCUUUCAGAACCCCAGUGUGGUUCCCAGAAUCCACAUUCAGCGGCUUGCAGUUAUCUGUGGCUCCAGCUCCAGGGGGAUCUGACACCUCUAGCCUCUGCAGGCACUCACACUCCCGUGCACAAAGCUGCACAUAGACAUACACACCCGCCAUUAUGGAAUAUUAAUUUGGAGGCAAGCAUUAGUCAGAUGGUCAAAAUGGCACAGAAACAAAUGUUCUUAUGACAAGUGCUAUGACAUUUUCUGGAGACAGGGGCUGGGACUCGGUGCUGGAGUCCUCAUCUAGCAUGCCCAGGAUUUGAUUACACAACCACAAGGGGGGGUGUGUGUGUGUGUGUGUGUGUGUGUGUGUGUGUGUGUGUGUGUGUGUGUAUGUGUGUACAGAGCCAAUGAAACAUUGUUUCUGGACAGUCUUCCUAUUACUUUCUAGAUUUUAGAAGUUUAACCUGAGCUAAUGUUUUAGGAAGUGUGCGUUUCAUUUGAGGAAAAUCAAUCACUGGCUUCUCCAUCAGAGGAAUGUGUGGCUGAGUGAUAUAGAGUCUGAGCACUCACAAAAGGACCAUGUCACAGUUUCCUGGAAGGAUGAUCAAGGACCCAGAAUUGAGGCUGCCUCAGAACUGGCAUGGACUCCCAGCAUGCCUCAGGCUUCCAGAGAACUUGACCAGAGGGUCCAAAUGGAAAGAAGUCUUUUUUUUGGUACCUGUCCUGGAACUUGCUUUGUAGACCAGGCUGGCCUCAAACUGACAGAGAUCCACCUGCCUCUGCCUCCCAAGUGCUGGGAUCAAAGGUGUGUGCCACUGCCGCCCGGUGGAAAGAAGUCUUUAGUAGUGCGGCUCUGAGUGCAGUCUACAGUCUUUCCUCUUGAGUUCAUCUAUUGACUGCCUGGACAGAGGAAGCCUGUGGCUCACAUUCCAGGGACAGGGUCAGUAAUAGAGAAAGGGCUGUGAACUCUUGGGACAAGAGCAUAAGAUCUGAAAAGACCUGCAGGGGGUUGAUGUUACGCAUGCUGUUAAACACUGGAUGGGAGGCCUGGCAUGGUGGCAUACUCCUUUAAUCCCAACACUUGGGAGGCAAAGACAGGCGGAUCCCUAGGAGUUUGAGGCCAGCUUGGUCUACAUAGCGAGUUCUAGAACAGCCAGAGCUACAUAGUGAGACCCUGUCUCAACAACAACAAAAAAAAAAUGUGAAAAUUGGAGGGGCUGGGAAGAUGGCUCAGAUGCUUGCUUUGCAAGCACAAGGACCUGAAAUCCAACCCCCAGAACCCAUGUAAAAACUCUAGGCAUGGCAGCAUGUGCCUCCAAUCCUAGCACUGGAAAGGCAGAGGCAGGAGGCUGGCCAGGCAGCCUUGUCUACCCAGUGAGUUCCAGGACAAUGAGAGUUCCUGUCUCAAAGGAGGUGGAUGGAGUUUCCAAAGGUGGCACCUGAGGUCAUCCUCUGGCCUCCUCAAGCAUACAUACAUGUGCACCCAUACACACACGAACACACAUUAUGUAGUUACACAAAUGUCAAGGUGCCACGACCUGACUUGGCUGAGGGCCUUGAGGUGAAAUCCUGUCUCCACCUCUCCAGCCCUGGAAUUACGAGUGCACACUGUCACACCCAUCCUUUCCCAUGGAAACAAGGGAUUUGAGUUUAGGGCCUUGUGCUUAUGCAGCAAGGGCGUUACUGAACCGUCUGCCCAGCUACCCUAGCAGGACUCUUAUAGACAGAGAUUACAAGCUUCAGAGUUAGCUGGACCUACAAUGUACAAGCUGAUCUUUUUUUUCCAGUUUAGAAAUUUCCAGUCCUGAGUUGGUCAUGCUUCAGUAUGGGCUGCGAAACUCUCCCCUGAUUCUCAAGGAAUUGAAAAGAAAAUCUGGGCCAUUUAGAGCUGCCUCUCAGAUGCAGUUCUGGGCCAUGCUGUGAAAGUAAGCAAAUAUUAAGGACAGUGUGCCUGUUUGGUGAGCAGUGCUCCCCCAAAGACAGAGGGGCUGUGUUCUGAGGUUGACGAGAGAGCGUGUGAGUUUGUCAAUGUUGUGACGUGUGUAUGUGUGUGCCUGUAAACGUGCAGGUCCCUGCUGCUUGGCCUGAGAACCUGGCUCUAGGAGUCGCCUCUGAAGAGGGGAUGAGGCUCAGGGCUAGUGUGAGAGGAUACUCACUCCUGUUUGAUUAUCCACCUUUUUGUGCAGUUUGAACUAUUUACCAUGCUGUGAUGGUUAAUAAUGUUUGUCAAUCUAACACGACCUAGAGUCACCAAAGAGACAAGCCUCUGGGCAUGCCUGGGAGGGAUGAUCUUGAUUAGGUUAAUUAGUUGAGGUGGGAAAAUUCACCCUAUGUAUGAGCAGUGCAGCACCACAGCUGUACACAAUGAGAAAGGGAGCAGAGUAUCCAGCAUUCAUUGCUCUUUGGUUUCUGACUGUGGAUACAAAGUAACCAGCUGCCUCUUGCUCCUGCCAUCUUGAGAUAACUGCCAUGAUGGACUGUAUCCCCUGGAACUGUAAAACAAAAUGAACCCCAUGACUCAUGGACAGCAUAUGGGCUGCAUUACCCCCUGAAGUGAUGGUGGAGGGGAAGAGGACGGGAGCAAGUUUGCCUGACCCUCCUUGAAGAGGGUUAUCCACGAUGACAGCAAAGCCAUGGUAGCUGGAGCAGCCGAGAGCUCACAUCCCAAGCAGCAAACAAGAAAUGGAGAACACUGGGAAUGGCACCUCAAAGCCCAUCCAUGAUGUGCCUCCUCCAAUAAGGCCACACCUCCUAAUCCUUCCCAAAACAGUUCUACUAACUGGGAACCAAGUAUUCCAUCAUAUGAGCCUAUGAGGGCCAUUCUCAUUCAUGUCUUUUGUUUGGUUUUUUUAGUCCCUCCUCUCUCUGUUUUGCUCUGUGUGUGUGUGUGUGUGUGUGUGUGUGUGUGUGUGUGUGUGUUUGUGUGGAUUUGUAUGUGACUGUGCACACAUGCUCAGAGGCUAGUAGACAACUUUCAGGCAUUGGUUCUCUCCUUUCUAUGUGGGUCCCAGGAAUUGAACUCAGGUGGUCUGGCUUGGUAAUGAAUGCCUUUACCCUCUGAGCCAUCUUGCCACCCCUAGGCUUGUCUUUCAGAAGCUUGCUUUUUAUUAUGGUUUUGAGGUUUUUUUCCUGUGUUAAUACACACACACAUCUGGGGUCUACAGUGUGACUGUCCACGGUCGAUAAUUUGGGACUGUUUCUCUUUCUACAGCUGUGCACGCGCUCCCAUGAACACACGCCCAUGUGACAGGGAUGGGCUUUUUCUGGACUGUAAGGUUUCAUACAUUGAAAACCUUAUCUAUAUGUCUGCUCAGGGAGCUUGAAAACAGAGACAUAGAUCUGAGCCCUCCCUCAGACCGUAUCUCAGCAGCAUGGCUCUGCUGAGAAUCCAGGAGCUGCAGCUGGAAAGGGAGGAGUGUGUUAGAGAGCAUGUUUCUGGUUCUGUAGGCUCUUGCCAGACAGAAUGCAGCUUUUCAGAUCCACCAGGUCUGGAUUUCUAUCCCCCAGUCCUGUGUCCUCUUGAAUAUCUCCCAACUUCAGUAUUAUUAACCUUUUAAAUUUUGUGUCCAUCUGAAAUAGUCUCUUCUCAAUGCACAUGUACAUGCACACUUCGGUUUUUAAGAUUUACUCUUUAUUUUUAAUCGUGUGUGUGUGUGUGUGUGUGUGUGUGUGUGUGUGUGUGUGUGUGUGUGUGUGUACAUGUGUGCAGGCACCUGCAGAGGCCAGAAGUGAGUGUUGGAUGCCCCAGAGUUUGAGGCAGUUGUGAGACAUCUGACAUAGAUGCUGGGAACCAAAUUUGGGUCCUGUGUAAAAGCAGAAAGUGCCCUGAACCCCUGAGCCUUCUCCCCAGCCCAUCGUUGGUUUUUAGUGUUAAGCUGUGUGGCCCAGGCUGUGCUUGGGCUGAUCUUCCUGCCUCUGUCUCCUGAUGCUAAGGUUGUGUUCUCAUGCCCAGCUGCUGUUUCUCAUUUUCACUGACUUAUUUUUCCUCCUAAUUCCUGAUAUAGUUGAGAAUUUUCUUAACUUUAUUUGACAUUUGGGUCUUCAGAUAGAAGCCCUGAGGCGAUCUGAGCUUCAUAAAGAAAAGUACAUUCCAAGGCAGAUUAAAGACCUAAAUGUGAAAAGUAAACAUUUUAAAUUUUUUUUGAGAAAAUAUAGAUGAACCGUGGCAGAGUUUCUUAAUGACACAGAAGUACUGGGAGAAGGGAAGGAUUGCUUAUUUGAGGACAUAUUAAACUGUGUGACAGACGAUACCAUCCACAAAGUGGGAGGAUCAGGCCACAGUCCAGCAGCAGCCAUUUGCAAACCGUUUGACCAAUGAGGAUUAGUUUCCAAAAUAUAAAGAGCUCUUGCAAAUUGAUUUUUUUCUUAGAUUCAGAAGUCUGUCUUUGACUAUUCAUAAGAUUGAGUUCAUGUUUAUCAGGGUUUUUUAUAUUUCAUUUCAUAAAACUCUGAGUCUUACAUUUCUGUGAUUUUGACCACUGGGUCUUUUUCUUAAUGUGUGUGUGUGUGUGUGUGUGUGUGUGUGUGUGUGUGUGUGUGUGUGCAUGUGGAGGCCAGAGGUCAACCUUCCUUGGGUACCAUCCACCUUUUUCUUUGUAUAAUUGUGUGUGUGUGUGUGUGUGUGUGUGUGUGUGUGUGUGUGUGUUGGUUUGAAAAAGAAUGGCCCCCAUAGGCUCAUAUAUGGGCAUGCUUGGUCCCGAAUUUAUGAACAUGUUAUGAAGGAUUAGGAGGUGUGGCCUUGUUGGAGAAGGUGUGGCCUUGUUGGAGAAGGUGUGGCCUUGUUGGAGUAGGUGUGGCCUCGUUGGAGUAGGUGUGGCCUCGUUGGAGUAGGUGUGGCCUUGUUGGAGUAGGUGUGGCCUUGUUGGAGAAGGUGUGUCGCUGUGGUGGUGGGCUUUGAGGUUUCAGAAGUCCAUGCCAGGCCCAGUGUCUCUCUUUCCCCGCCUGCCUGUGGAUCUGGCUGUAGCUCUCAGCCACUGCUCCAGCGCCUGCCUGUGUGCAGCCACGCUCCCCACCAUGCUGAUGAUGGACUAACACUCUCAAACUGUAAGCCAGCUCCCGAUUAAAUGUUUUCUUUUAUGAGA
This is a long non-coding RNA of Peromyscus californicus insignis, 7215 nucleotides long. RefSeq lists it as uncharacterized. The transcript is spliced from 2 exons. NCBI's taxonomy places the organism in Eukaryota, Metazoa, Chordata, Mammalia, Rodentia, Cricetidae. The record is from RefSeq and is a predicted model, not a curated record.